Megalops atlanticus (tarpon) is the source of this 71-nucleotide non-coding RNA. NCBI's taxonomy places the organism in Eukaryota, Metazoa, Chordata, Actinopteri, Elopiformes, Megalopidae. The record is from the annotation of a GenBank genome assembly.
GGCAGGGUAGCAGAGUGGUAAGGAACAGGAUUUGUAAUCGAAAGGUUGCGGUUCAAUUCCUCACUAGGGCA